GCUGCGGCUGUUCAGGUUGCACAGUGAAAUUCAUUGAAUCGACCCGAGCGAACAUCAUAUAAAAUUGAUGCCCUGCUGUCUACCCGACAACAACAACAACAAACUGAAGCAGACCCCGCCCGUACUUCGUGAGCUCCUGGUGACUGUCGGCUGGACUGUGCCGCCUGUACAGUAAAUAAUCUCAUGGACUUAUCGCUAAAUUAAUCCCAGAUUUCUGCCAAGGCUUUUUCCGCUUAACCACUUGACAUUGCGCUCCCUCCUUCGCUCUCUGUGUCCCUCUCGCUCUCGCAUGCGCUGUGCCUGUGUCUCCCUGGAGGUGCUUUGGCGCGUGCAACUGAGGCCAAAGGAAACUGAUAAGCAAGCAACAAAUCCCCACACAUGAGACUGGAUAAGGGAGCAAGUAAAAUGUAAAAACAACAAAAAAACAGAGGCAAGCCGUCCUUGAAGGGAUGC
Molecule: long non-coding RNA, 453 nt
Organism: Drosophila navojoa
Lineage: Eukaryota; Metazoa; Arthropoda; Insecta; Diptera; Drosophilidae
Source: RefSeq, a predicted model, not a curated record